AGUGAACGCUGGCGGUAGGCUUAACACAUGCAAGUCGAACGGCAGCACAGUAAGAGCUUGCUCUUCCGGGUGGCGAGUGGCGGACGGGUGAGGUAUACAUCGGAACCUACUUUUUCGUGGGGGUUAACGUAGGGAAACUUACGCUAAUACCGCAUAUGACCCACGGGUGUAAGCAGGGGAUCUUCGGACCUUGCGCGAUUGAAUGAGCCGAUGUCGGAUUAGCUAGUUGGCGGGGUAAACGCCCACCAUGGCGACGAUCCGUAGCUGGUCUGAGUGGAUGAUCGGCCACACUGGAGGUGAACCAUGGUCAAGCCUCCUACGGGAGGGCCCAGGGGGCAAUAUGAGGCAGUGGGCGGAAGCCUGGUCCAGCCAUACCACGUAGGUUAAACAUGCCUACGGGUUGUGAAGCCCUUUUUUAGGGAAAUAAAAGCCGCAGGUUGAUACCCAGCUGGUCUGACGGUACCGGAAGAAUAAGCACCGGCUAACUUCGUG
Molecule: ribosomal RNA, 492 nt
Filed under: uncultured bacterium
Lineage: Bacteria
Description: partial 16S ribosomal RNA
Rfam family: Bacterial small subunit ribosomal RNA
Source: RNAcentral